CACAGCGGGGAGCUUCUCGAACGAGCGCGGGGAGCUUGAACGUAUGUGUGUGUAUGUGUGAGAGUGUGUGUUGGGUUGUUCGGGAUGGUGCAGUCAGAGUCAGCGUUGAGCGCGAGGACGAUGAUGUGCACUGCGAGGAGGAAGUGAUGGCGCGGUGUAGUGUGACUAGAAAAAUAAGAACCAAGUAGCGUGUCAUGAGUGAGUGCUUGGAUCUGUUCUUGUUUUUUUAUAGCCAGUAAUCAUGCUGAUUCCUGGCGAGAUAUCGCGUUGCUUGGACGGAGAAAGACAAAAAAAAGUAUAGUGAGUUGCGAAAUAAACAUGCGCGGGAUGGAGUUCUUUCCUUGUUUGCUUUCAAGGGGAAGAGUGAGCAUCAUCCCGUGUAACUCGAAAGCGGGGGUGGCGUAAGCGGUCCGUCAGUCGAGCGGUCGAGGUACAGCUAGAUGACAAAUACAGCACCAAGGCGGGUGCCAGUACAUCACCAGAAGUCCUUGCGAAACGAAUCGUUCGGCGGAGCUGCCCGUGGACUGUGUGCACCGGGACUAGAGAAAGACAAAUCGGUUCCAAGCAUGUGAGGAACGAAGUGCGAAUGUCGUGAGUCAAGCAAAGUUGGCAAAAUUAGUGACAAUUGCGGGAACUUCUUCUUUUGCUUGCAAAUUUGUCAUCACAAAAAGUGGCACAUUUCGUGGAGGUCUGGGCAGAACUGGCGCCACCUGCACACGCGUUGGACAACUGUCGCCAUCCGGUGGAGAAAGUAGCAAGCUCCGCUCCUUCCGCACAAGAAGAAGUCAGAGUGUGUCUUAUUUGGAGAACGGUGGCCGCCCGGCCGGUCGGGUGGCUGUGAUAAGACAGCUGUUGUGGUGUGUCAAGUGAAAGCGAGUCCAACCUUGUCUCGUCUCGAAUGUUUGUUGUCGAUAUGAUUCAUAUGUGAGACGCUUGAUCAACGCCGCUUCGUGUGAAGGCUCUAAUGGUGGGCACGUGUGAGUGAUUUUCCAGCGCAGCGGCGAUAAGCGACCGAUGGCUACUGUCGAGUGUGCAGAGUCUCUGAUAAGAGCGCAGCAGCGGCUUCGGAAGGUCUGUUCUGACAAGUGAAUGACUUGUUAAAGUGACAACAAAGCACAGUAACUGCCGGCUUUGGAGGCUUUCACAGCAGAGGAGGAGCAAGACAUUCGCACCGUGUGGACGGUUUCUGGUUGGAGCUUGGAUCGCGUGUGCAAGAAUCACCGCACUUCUGUCGGAACGCAGCGCUGGUGGCGGUAGUGAUGGCUAGAAAGAGAGCGCCGAGUCGACCCCCGGACCCCGUCGAACCGGACUGUGUGUGGUGGAGCCUUUCGUGCAGUCAACGUCGUUUUUGCUCUGGCAGUUGCUCGGUGGAGCGCAGCAAGUGUGGAUCGCGGAACAGAACCACCAUCAAGAACUCUACUCCUAGCCCGUGCCUGCCUGGUUACAACACACGAAACUGUGUGCAAAACGUCACAUCGCUGCCGUCACUGUUUGGCAAAAAAGGGUGGAAACAGUGAAAAAUAAGCAAACCAAUAAGAAUAUGAGUGUUGGAACAACGUGCAAUAGUCGGCGGCCGAAUCGAAGAAAACAUAAUCGUGAAACUCGUGAGCUUCUGUCGUUUGACAAUCAUAAACGUGAACGGCACAGAGAAAAAAAAACCUUCGUGAAAACGACUGCUGAAAGAACGCGUGAAAAUGACAAUCAAUCUUGUGCAAAUCGAUCAAAGUGUGCCUUGUGUUCUGUGAUAAUUUCGGUGUGCACCCCGCCUUCUGGGAUUAACCAAAACGAGACGUUCCAGUUCCGUACUUUGACAACUGAGACCACCAAAAAUCCAGCAAAGCGAUUCACGGAGGAGACACUCGAACUGGACACUACUCGACCCCUAAUCAUAAAUCAUCGUUUUAAAUGAUCUGAUGUUGGCCAUGGAUUGUCGAACAGGUGCAACACGUGCGGUGAUCUCAUGUUUCGCAAGCUGACAUCUGGCGGCCAGAGGAUGACUGAAGGACCACGACGACAGCCAGCAGGGUGUAAUUGACUUUGAAAGCGUUCAAAUUCUCACUCCGCGCCCCACUCGUACGGCCAACGGGAUAUUGCGGGACUCAGGGUGUGGAGCGAGCUCUUGCCCCGUUACAAAUUAAGUCAUAAAGGGCAAUAAAAGCAAAAUUUAUUAUCCUCCACGCUUGCUCGCCCGUUGAUGGCCUUUCAAACCCGAGCCCAAAAUCGAUUCUUGCCGGCUUGCUGGUUAUGGCUGGUAGAGUGGGCCCUUUCCCUUCCGAAAGUGCGGUCAUAAAUAAGGCGGCGGUGGUGCCGAUGACGACGAAUUCUCUCACUCUCCAUUACGCGCUUGGUCAGGAACGGGGGAAAAAAAUUCCUUGUGAUAAACACCGGUCGCAACUCGUUUGAAAGUUGCUGCAUCAUCGUUUACCUCAAAUAAGUCACCGACCGAGUGGAAAGUGUCGUGGACCUUUUCUUCAAGAGCCUGAAAUACUGGUG
Long non-coding RNA from Armigeres subalbatus, 2493 nucleotides. RefSeq lists it as uncharacterized. Lineage: Eukaryota; Metazoa; Arthropoda; Insecta; Diptera; Culicidae. The transcript is spliced from 6 exons. The record is from RefSeq and is a predicted model, not a curated record.